RNAcentral lists this ribosomal RNA (427 nucleotides) under uncultured bacterium. RNAcentral describes it as "partial 16S ribosomal RNA". It matches the Rfam family "Bacterial small subunit ribosomal RNA", at positions 354 to 796 of the family's 1533-position model. The record is from RNAcentral.
GUGAGGAGUCUUCCACAAUGGGCGAAAGCCUGAUGGAGCAACGCCGCGUGAAGGAUGAAGGUCUUCGGAUUGUAAACUUCUUUUAUGAGUGAAGAAUAUGACGGUAACUCAUGAAUAAGCACCGGCUAACUACGUGCCAGCAGCCGCGGUCAUACGUAGGGUGCAAGCAUUAUCCGGAGUGACUGGGCGUAAAGAGUUGCGUAGGCGGUUAUGUAAGCGAAUAGUGAAACCUGGUGGCUCAACCACACAGACUAUUAUUCGAACUGCAUAACUCGAGAAUGGUAGAGGUAACUGGAAUUUCUUGUGUAGGAGUGAAAUCCGUAGAUAUAAGAAGGAACACCAAUGGCGUAGGCAGGUUACUGGGCCAUUUCUGACGCUAAGGCACGAAAGCGUGGGGAGCGAACCGGAUUAGAUACCCGUGUAGUCC